CCAAUUUUAUAUGUUAGUUUGCCUGUGGCUUCUGUCACUGGUAUUAACUACUAUGUAAACGUUGAACUAGAUCAAUUGGUGUGGAUUGCUUGGGAAUGGACGAAGCGACAAGCCUCUUCCGGACAGGCAAGCCCCACACUGAUAACCUUUUUCAUAUCAUUUACUCGUACAUACUACAAACAACAACAACAAAAGCUAUAAUAGGACUUAUUAACGGCUGAGUGGGUAACAUCCUCGGCUUAUACAUAUAACUAUUA
This 257-nucleotide unclassified non-coding RNA is filed under the name soil metagenome. RNAcentral describes it as "partial internal transcribed spacer 1". The record is from RNAcentral.